Long non-coding RNA from Hippocampus comes (tiger tail seahorse), 2302 nucleotides. RefSeq lists it as uncharacterized. Lineage: Eukaryota; Metazoa; Chordata; Actinopteri; Syngnathiformes; Syngnathidae. The transcript has 3 exons. The record is from RefSeq and is a predicted model, not a curated record.
CAAUUAUAAUCAAACCCCAAACAUGUAAUUUUAUGAGAUCAAGUUGUAAUAUUGCGAGAAAAAGAACACGCUGUGCCCUGGCAAAGAACCCCAUAAGGUUGAUAUCUCGAGAGAAAAACAAAAGGAACUCUAAAUAGCUAAAAGCGAGGUUACACGCAGCAGAGAGAGUGUGUGUGUUGCAGUGUAUGCUAUGACGUCUUAAUUGGAUUUAGCUGGCGAUGCAGGAAGCCGGUUAUGUGGCCAACAGUGAGUCCUUUUGUAGUGAAGACAGAGAUACAUUCAAGCCGCACGACUGAGCGGCACCACCGCUUUUAUAACCAUUUGUUCUCAUCAUCACCGUGAUUAUUUUGAUUGCAGAAAUGUUGUGACGUGUUCCUCAAAAUUCGGAUUCAUGAACAAAUUGCGCGUCGCAGCCAGAACCGCGAGACCAUGUCAGAAUGUGUGACUAACUCAAUUCAACUUAACUUCAAAAAGGGCCACAGCUGCAUACAAAGUGCUGAACAUGAAGUCAAAAUCAAACAUAAAAAAAAAACAACAAAAAAAAAAAACUAAAUCCGUUGUGUGCACCUCGACCACCAGGGGGCCAUAUACUGGACACACAGAUAUCAAAUAGAUUUGGUAGGGUUGGACAAAGAAGACCGUCAUGACAAACCACCUGAAGUAUGUAGAGUUUCUCAGAGAGGAUAAAGAAUAUAUGCAAGCGAUUAACAUGUCUGUUCAUGUGUUGCUCCCCUGUUGGUGUUCAAUAUCCAUUGCUUCCAGGGUUCCGACUACAGCCACAUCACUGCUAGUUUUGUUAGCCUAUCUGUAGCCCUAUGCAUUGCGUGUUAGCAUGAAGCUAGUAACCUUUGGUCGGACAGGUAUGUGGUUGAUAAAUGCAUAAAGUGCGAUUCUCUUUGUUUUGUUUAAUUUUACAGUAAAAUCAAAUUGCGAUUGGCAAUAAACGGCAUUGAAGGAAGCACCUGACAUCGUUUUGGGGGGGAAAAUGUUCACUGCCAAAACUCAAAUUUUUACAUACAAUUCAAGACAGGAAAUUUGACUGAGCGCAAUGAUUCAUCAAUGUCAAGGUGCCACUGUAUGUCAUGCCAGCUCUUGGCACCUUAAUGCCCAGGAACUAUGUUGAUGUGAUUUGAGUGCUUCAUUUCGAUCAAAAUGGCGCUUAAAAGCGACAAGACUUUGUCGUAGCGGAGGGUAACGUUAGUUCACCAUUUGUGCAUUUGUAUCUGCCGAAUCUUGUAGACGGAAGAAGCCCAGUUACCGUAUGGCCCCAAAUGAAAAAGUCCUCUCUUGAUCUGCUUCGGUUCUCCGCAGGGAGUCGCCCACUUUGACGGCAGUCGGCAGUGAAUGCGCGCUUCAAAGCGAGCGUCUUAGCCUCGCUUUACAUUUCUCCAAAGGCUUAAAGAGGAACCUGACCCUGCGGGGGUGACGGAAUAUUGAAUAUCGCAACCCGCGCACAGGACGCGACCAUAAUGAAAACGACGCAGCCGAGUCGAACACAUUUUUUUUUCUUCUCUUCCUGAUGCAUUCCGCUGACUGGAAGCUCCUUCUUUGCAUUCACACGGCCUACUUCUGUCUGCAGGUUUCCGCGUUACGAUCCCUGAAGCCUCUCUCUUUUUCUUUUUUUUUUCUUUUUUGUUUUAACAGUGAGUCAAUCAGUAAUGCCAGACGUUGUCAUGAUCCCGACUGGAAGGUAAGUAAACCAAAAAAAAAAUUUGAAGGUCAAGGACAUUGCAAAAGAAAGCACCAAGCCAUGUUUCCAUGUUUGCACGAUAUUCUCUUGCUCUGUGUGUUGUUGUAGGGGGGGUGAAAUAGAGCAGAUAAACAGGAACUGGGAUUCAUUUCAUGUGAAAAGUUGCAUGAGUGACCAUGCGUGAGGCGAUUCGUGAGAAUGGCCCAUAUCCGCAACCUGAGUUGUUUGAAAUGUCUCUCAUAUGCAGGUACGGGAGCACCAGGACCUUUGUUCCUCGGUUGGGAAGAACUUCUUCAGCAUGCUCACCAGAGGAGUAGAUUGCUGAGUUGAAUAAAUAAACGGCCCAGCCACGACGUGAAGAUAAGAUUCACGGCAUUGUUGGCUGACUGUAUUGCUGCCAUGGCAACGAGCGCCUCACGGGGCCGUUGCCCAGGAGUCGUUUACCUCACGGAUGUGAUGGAUGAGGACUGGAGGUAUCUGCUUACCCAGCGUCCUGGGUCUGAAGUCCAUCAGCUAAAACCAGCUGCUUCCCUCCACUAUCGACAUUCUUCUUCGUCUUCUUCUUCCUCUUCUGGCUGCUCCUCAACCAGCUGAUGGCCUGUCCCAGGGAGC